RNA transcript from Cyanidioschyzon merolae strain 10D, 1720 nucleotides. RefSeq lists it as hypothetical. The transcript has a single exon. Lineage: Eukaryota; Rhodophyta; Bangiophyceae; Cyanidiales; Cyanidiaceae. The record is from RefSeq and is a predicted model, not a curated record.
AGAUACACUACAGCCGCUUUUCGGGGAAGCGCGUGCACGGAACGAAAAGUCCUCGGAAGGAAUGAGCGCUACGGACCCGCGGGCCGGCAUCUGGAAAGCCAGUGGCAGGGAUCAGGUGCAGGCUGAUUGGUCAGGCGUGGGUCCAAGGUGCACCGGGUAACUAGCACUGCCUGUUUUGGUCCUUGAGCGCUACCCAGUUCGUUUGAGAGCGCUCGCUGCACCCGGAGUCGCAGUACCCUCUCGAAAGUUUUUUCAGAUUUAUAGGUGAAAGAUUAACGAAAUCGAUCAACCAAGGAAAAUUACAUCGCACUUUGGCACGAAAGAGUUGACAAGCAAUUGAGAACCGCCGGCGGGAGGCUUUCCUAGCUGCUUUCUCAGGCAGCCUUGCGACGCGCGCGGAACUGCUGUGGCGGGAAUUAGUUCUUCAUAGAGGGUGUGACGACGACGAACACGCGAGAUGCGGCGUCCUGGAAUCGCGGAUUCCCCGACGACCGAUGUGUUCAUCGUCGAGCGGGCUCCGCCCCAGUGGUAUCCUGUGACGGAGCCAUCCUGUCUCCGUCUGGCGUCUGCGCGAGUCUCAACAUACAUUCACACACACACACACAGACGGACAGAAUCGCAGGAUCAACCGCGCUGUCAUAUCGUACCUGUUCUCUGUGUUCAGUCUGGUGACCAUAUCCCCAUGUCAGACAGACAUGGAACGGGUCCACUUGGCUCACUCGGGUAUACAUGGUUCAUUUCCGGUGCCUCCAGGGUAUCAUCAAGGCCAGCCUGUACUUGCUUCUUCGCGAACGACUUCCUCAUCCUCGCUCUUAACUCCGGCUUUGAAUACGCCUGUCUCGACUUUACCUUCAGCCCCGUCGUCAGCAGUAGAAGGAUGUUGAUGGCAGCGGUAUUGUGCCAAGUGCGCAGCUGCCAGCAGUUGCUGGCGCAUUUCGCGCUCAGCAAAUAGCUGCGAUCUCCGGUUCACUUGCCACGUUCAUCUCCUUUGGAUGCAGCCUCGGUGCGCCAUUCGCAGUGGUGACACUUGCGUGUGGUCAGGACCUUCUAUACGCCCGUUAAACCUCCUGCGCUUCCUCUGAGCGCCGCCCUUUGGCACGUGAACGCCUGCUUCGGCGCUCGGUACACGCCCUUGACUGCUACAGAGGAUUUCCCUCAAUGCCCUCUUGCGUUUGCGAGCCUGGUUCCGUACGCUUCCGUCCGAGGCGUCUCCUGGUCGAUCCGCUCAGCGAGGACUCUCUCCGGUGCACGUGCCAGCGUAUGCGCUUCCAUUCGAUAGGGGGGUUUUGGAACGCGAUUUUGACCAUGACGAAACAAGUUCCAGAGGGAAAAUUCAGGCCGGAGAACAAGUCGAGAAAAACCGAUCUGUCUACGACUCCUUCUCGCAAAGCGGUGACGCAUUCUCUUUUGCAGGCAAUCGCUGCGAUAGCACAAGUCCGAGUCAACCACCUUUUCCAUUUAAAAAGAGAAUACGCGAGCCUCUGGGGGCAUAUCUUUGGCCGGCAUUAAGCUGCUACUGACGAAUGCCGUUUCUUCGACGGCCGCAAACAGAAGAAAUUUUCUCUCUCGAACGGAAUCGAUGAUUUGGCGUGACAAGUUCAGUGAAUAUCGGCAUGAACUUGUGAACAAAUCUUCAAGGAAGGAUGUCGAGUCUGCUCUUCACCGUCAAUCCAGCGUUGCGGAUUUGUGCGCCAGCUAGUUGCCUUUAAACAGAAAACUU